RNAcentral lists this ribosomal RNA (248 nucleotides) under uncultured bacterium. Its description in RNAcentral is "partial 16S ribosomal RNA". It matches the Rfam family "Bacterial small subunit ribosomal RNA", at positions 529 to 776 of the family's 1533-position model. The record is from RNAcentral.
GGGGGGCAAGCGUUGUUCGGAAUUACUGGGCGUAAAGGGCUCGUAGGCGGCCAACUAAGUCAGACGUGAAAUCCCUCGGCUUAACCGGGGAACUGCAUCUGAUACUGGAUGGCUUGAGUUCGGGAGAGGGAUGCGGAAUUCCAGGUGUAGCGGUGAAAUGCGUAGAUAUCUGGAGGAACACCGGUGGCGAAGGCGGCAUCCUGGACCGACACUGACGCUGAGGAGCGAAAGCCAGGGGAGCAAACGGG